This is a long non-coding RNA of Solanum tuberosum (potato), 1723 nucleotides long. RefSeq lists it as uncharacterized. The transcript has 3 exons. The record is from RefSeq and is a predicted model, not a curated record. Lineage: Eukaryota; Viridiplantae; Streptophyta; Magnoliopsida; Solanales; Solanaceae.
CUCUUAAAUUGGAAAUAAAAUGGUGACUUGCCUUUUAUGAUCAAUGUGUUCAAACACUUUUUGUUCUUAUUAGUUAAUUUUGAGUUGGCGUUCUCUCCAUUUCAUGCUAUACUGUUUCUUGGUUUCUUCCUAUCAAAGAGGAAAGUGCAAAGUCUUUUGAAAUGGUGAAAGAAUUCAGAAGACAGUUAUUCAUUGAUUACUCAUUUGAAGCAUGUAUCUCACUGUAUGUACAGUCGGUUUUGAUCUUCUGUUUUUAAUUUGGGGUGAUGAUGUAAGGUUUUAUCUUUAAAAUCUGAUUUCAACCGCAGUUUAGCUCCACUAUUGUGGAAUCAGUCACUCCGACAAUCUAAAGAUAGCUAAUCUCUUUUCUGGUUAUUGAUUUAGAGCUAGAGCCUUCUAAUUUUUCUCAUUUAUAGGUAGACUACAAAGAAAUUUUAGUAAAACAGAAACCAAGACACCCUCAUCAAAGCUCUGCAAAAAUAGAAGAUUUUAAUGAUCAUAAUGCAAUUCCACCUCAAGGUUUUGCCCGGUCUCUUGUUAUCAUUUGAUUGUCCUUGAGCUUAAGGAGAAGUCAUUUCAGUGUAGACCUUUUUGUUCAUUAAAUAGAAGCAAUUUUAAAGAAGAAAUAAGAAUCAGCUUGGUCACAGCGACAAUGAAGAAGACCAUAGUAUGGACUUGACUCAAAGCAGUGUCCUACUGGCAUUAUGCUAACAAACACCAUGCUGCUGUGUCUGCUAAAUCCCCUUAACUGCUUCCAGGAUUAAGUCUAAAGAGAUGAUACAGGCCAAUCUGCUUCCUUUUUUGUCUGCCUUCUGUGCUAACUCCACCAGCCCUCGCCCUUUAAAAUCUUGACCAAGUUCAACAAUUGACAAAUUUCUUAUUAUUGAUUCCACUUUUCAAUUGAGCAUAGCUAUUUUGUGGAGGUGGAAAUGAGUAUUAUUGCUGAAGAGCUUCCUGUUUGCACCAAAAGUCCUUGCAACACCUGAUACUGCAAACAUCACUGAAAUGUAAUGGUGAAAGGUACACUAUCCCAUUUCCGAUGAAUUUGAGGACGAGAAACCUUAAUGAUUUGCAUCUUAAUAUUUAGCUUCCUGAGGUUUAUACCUUUAUAGUGUUGUGCCGUAACGCCCCAUGUUCCUCGGCUGAUGGUGCUAUGAUUGAACAGCUUCAUCACCUGCAUUGUCGUCUUCUCAUUUUAUAUUCUGCAACAUUUUGUCUCUUAGGAUGCUGUUAGCGAGAAUUCUUUUAUCCACCGGAGAAGUUUAGACGCACAACUUGGGUCUGACAUAUUAGUUUUGCCACCUUUGAAUUUUUCCUCCGUUCAUAACUAACUUUUAUCUAUACUUCUGUACUGUUAGCAGAGAUAGAUACUAGAGCUACCAGCCUCGAGAGAAAAACAAGGCUCAUCCACCUAAUGUGUUCCAGGUCGUGGCCAUCAAGCAACUUGACCAAAAUGGAUUGCAAGGAAAUAGGGAAUUUCUUGUUGAGGUCCUGAUGUUAAGCCUACUUCACCAUCCACACCUUGUCAACUUGAUUGGAUAUUGUGCUGAUGGAGAUCAGAGAUUUCUAGUUUACGAGUUCAUGCCGUUAGGAUCACUGGAAGACCAUCUACAUGAGCUUUCACCCGACAAAACACGACUAGACUGGAAUACAAGAAUGAAAAUAGCUGCCGGUGCUGCCAAGGGCCUUGAGUACUUGCAUGAUAAAGUGAAUCCCCCUGUUA